This 301-nucleotide ribosomal RNA is filed under the name uncultured bacterium. RNAcentral describes it as "partial 16S ribosomal RNA". It matches the Rfam family "Bacterial small subunit ribosomal RNA", at positions 510 to 808 of the family's 1533-position model. The record is from RNAcentral.
AGUAGCCGCGGUAAUACGUAGGGUGCGAGCGUUAAUCGGAAUUACUGGGCGUAAAGCGUGCGCAGGCGGUUCGUUAAGACAGAUGUGAAAUCCCCGGGCUCAACCUGGGACCUGCAUUUGUGACUGUAUAGCUAGAGUACGGUAGAGGGGGAUGGAAUUCCGCGUGUAGCAGUGAAAUGCGUAGAUAUGCGGAGGAACACCGAUGGCGAAGGCAAACCCCUGGACCUGUACUGACGCUCAUGCACGAAAGCGUGGGGAGCAAGCAGGAUUAGAUACGCGAGUAGUCCCUGUCUCUUAUACA